GCACGUCUAAGUACGAGCCCAACUUAGGGCGAAACCGCGAACGGCUCAGUACAACAGAUCCUAUACAAAAGACUGACGCCUUGAGCAAGAGGAUAACUGUGGCAAUUCUAGAGCUAAUACUGUCAAAAAGCUCUCCGCCGUUCACGCGGCGGAGAAGUUUUUAUUAGAACAAAACCAAGUGGCGAGUGAUAAUAAUUGCUCGCCAACAUAACCCCCCGAUGACACGAAAUAACAUGCAAGCUCGCACGGUCUCGCACCGGCGACUUGUCUUAACAGAGUCUGCCUUAUCAGACCGGUCGGUGAGCCAAGGGCUUACCAUAGUUUUCACGGGUGACGGGGAAUUGGGGUUCGAUGCCGGAGAGGGAGCCUGAGAAAUGGCUACCACAUCCAAGGAAGGCAGCAGGCGCGCAACUUACCCACUCUCAGUUCGAGGAGGUAGUGACGAUAAAUAACGAUACGGGACUCAUCCGAGGCCCCGUAAUCGGAAUGAAAACAUCCUAAAAAACUUAAAAAGGAUCAAUUGGAGGGCAAGUCUGGUGCCAGCAGCCGCGGUAAUUCCAGCUCCAAUAGCGUAUAUUAAAUUUGCUGCGGUUAAAAAGCUCGUAGUCGGAGCUGUGUCCCGCGCCGCCGGUGCACUGCUCGCGGUGUCUGCUGGUGUGUUGCGGGACGUCCGGCCGGAGAGCGCGGUCCCGUCUCUGACGGGGCGGCUCGAGCCUAUACUCGUUUCCUCUUCAUUGAGUGACGAGCAGACCGGCACGGUUACUUUGAACAAAUUAGAGUGCUCAAAGCAGGCUCAGUGCCUGAAUAAUGGUGCAUGGAAUAACGGAAUAGGACCCCGGUUCUAUUUUGUUGGUUUCUAGACACCGAGGUAAUGAUCAAUAGGGAUUGCUGGGGGCAUUCGUAUUGCGGCGCUAGAGGUGAAAUUCUUGGACCGUCGCAAGACGUACUAAAGCGAAAGCAUUUGCCAAAAAUGUCUUCAUUGAUCAAGAACGAAAGUUAGAGGUUCGAAGGCGAUCAGAUACCGCCCUAGUUCUAACCAUAAACGAUGCCAUCUGACGAUCCGUACGGUUCCUCCGAUGACUGUACGGGCAGCCUCCGGGAAACCAAAGACUUUGGGCUCCGGGGGUAGUAUGGUUGCAAAGCUGAAACUUAAAGGAAUUGACGGAAGGGCACCACCAGGAGUGGAGCCUGCGGCUUAAUUUGACUCAACACGGGAAACCUCACCAGGCCAGGACGUCAGUAGGAUUGACAGAUCGAUAGCUCUUUCUUGAUUUGGCGGAUGGUGGUGCAUGGCCGUUCUUUGCUGGUGGAGCGAUUUGUCUGGUUAAUUCCGAUAACGAGCGAGACUCUGCCUUAUUAAAUAGGCGUACUCGGCAUACACGAGGUCCGCGCGCGGCCGGUCGCAAGGCCGUGUCGUGCGCGCGAUACUUGCUGCCGGCGUACUAAACAAUCUUCUUAGAAGGACAAGCUGUGUCUAGCAGCACGAAACUGAGCAAUAACAGGUCUGUGAUGCCCUUAGAUGUCCUGGGCCGCACGCGCGCUACACUGAAGAAGACAACGGGUCUUCCCGGGCCGUCAGGUCCGGGUAAUCCGUUGAGCCUUCUUCGUGCUAGGGAUUGGGGUUUGCAAUUGCACCCCAUGAACGAGGAAUUCCCAGUAAACGCGAGUCAUAAGCUCGCAUUGAUUACGUCCCUGCCCUUUGUACACACCGCCCGUCGCUACUACCGAUUGAAUGAAUUAGUGAGGUCUUUGGACCUUUGCCCAUGGCGCUUCGUGCGCGCAUCGGUUGCAAAAGGGAAGCUGACCGAACUUGUUCAUUUAGAGGAAGUAAAAGUCGUAAC
RNAcentral lists this ribosomal RNA (1841 nucleotides) under Dasycerus carolinensis. RNAcentral's name for it is "SSU rRNA". It matches the Rfam family "Eukaryotic small subunit ribosomal RNA". The record is from RNAcentral. Lineage: Eukaryota; Metazoa; Arthropoda; Insecta; Coleoptera; Staphylinidae.